This 175-nucleotide ribosomal RNA is filed under the name Brachycorythis henryi. Its description in RNAcentral is "5.8S ribosomal RNA". The stretch from base 4 to 159 matches the Rfam family "5.8S ribosomal RNA". From Rfam's summary of the family: 5.8S ribosomal RNA (5.8S rRNA) is a component of the large subunit of the eukaryotic ribosome. It is transcribed by RNA polymerase I as part of the 45S precursor that also contains 18S and 28S rRNA. Functionally, it is thought that 5.8S rRNA may be involved in ribosome translocation. RNAcentral also lists the same sequence under 1 other name. The record is from RNAcentral. Lineage: Eukaryota; Viridiplantae; Streptophyta; Magnoliopsida; Asparagales; Orchidaceae.
UAGGGCUCUCGGCAAUGGAUAUCUUGGCUCUCGCAUCGAUGAAGAGCGCAACGAAAUGCGAUACGUGGUGCGAAUUGCAGAAUCCCGUGAACCAUCGAGUUUUUGAACGCAAGUUGCGCCUGAGGCCAGCUGGCCAAAGGCACGUCCGCCUGGGCGUCAAGCAUUGAAUCGCUCC